CUUAUCUAUACUCCCAAUUCCAAUUCCUUGUAAACAUACUUUGUAAACUCCUGUGAGAUCCUGUCUCCUUUGCCAUGCUGCUGUAAGGUCCUAAAGUAGAUAAAACCUAAGUUGCAAUUCCGGUUUUCCUCAAAAUCUAAGACAUGUCACAAAAUAAUUUACUGCCUUUGUUGAUCUCGCUCCUGUAACAAGCUUCCUGCCUCACGUAUCUCCCGCCUUAAAGAGUUUAAAAGGCAAUCACCCAAAACCAACCGUGGCUACCCAUUCAAGACUGUUUCCACACUGUGGAAGCUUUGUACUUUCACUCUGCUCAAUAAAGCCUGCAGCUUUUUCUCACUCUCAGUCCAUGUCUCUUUCACUCACUGUGGUCAGCUUCCACACCAUUUCUUUGGUGUGGCUUGGCAAGAACCUCAGGUGUUACAUCUUGGCGAGCCAGACAGGAGACUCCAGAAAAGGAUCAAAGCCAUCAAGCUACAAAUGAUCUUACAAAUGGAACCUCAAAUGAGCUCAGCUCACGGCUUCUACCGAGGACCCCUGGAUCAACCCGCUGGUCCCUCAAUUACCCUAGAAAAUUCCCCUCUGGAGGACACCAAACUGCAGGGCCCCUUCUUCACCCCUAACCAGCAGGAAGUAGCCAGAACGACUGCCACACGGUUCCCAACAGCAGUUGGGGUGUCCUGUUUAGAGGCAGGACUGAGAGGAGGUGCCAGCUGGGCUUCCUGGGUCAAGUAGGGGCUCAGAAAGCUGUGAAACUCACUCAUUUCCUGCAUCAGGACUUACUUCAGUCCUGGAUGAAUAAUAUUGAAGAUAUACGCUUAAAAUAUUCCUAACACCAGGAUUCGUGCAUGUGUUUUCUUCCCCAAGAAAGCUAUAAACAGUGAAAAAUUUGCUGUAAGUUUCCCUGUAUCUUCUCUCCCUCUCUCCCUUCCCCCGCCCCUGAAACUAAAAUAAAGGAAUGUUAACUGCUCAUUUUUCUGUGACCAGUGGACCUUAUCUACACUCCCAAUUCAGAUUCCUUGUAAACAUACUUUGUAAAGUCCUGUAAGAUCCUGUCUCCUUUGCCAUGCUGCUGCAAGGUCCUAAAGUAGAUAAAACCUAAGUUGCAAUUCCGGUUUUCCUCAAAAUCUAAGACAUGUCACAAAAUAAUUUACUGCCUUUGUUUCCGGCUCCUGUAACAAGCUUCCCACCUCAUGUAUCUCCCGCUUUAAAGAGUUUAAAAGGCAAUCACCCAAAACCAACAGUGGCUACCCGUUCAGGACCCCUCCCAUGCUGUGGAAGCUUUGUACUUUCACUCUGCUUAAUAAAGCUUACAGUUUUUUCUCGCUC
This 1326-nucleotide long non-coding RNA is filed under the name Homo sapiens (human). RNAcentral describes it as "HSALNT0162871". The record is from RNAcentral. Lineage: Eukaryota; Metazoa; Chordata; Mammalia; Primates; Hominidae.